Non-coding RNA from Pelobates cultripes (western spadefoot toad), 2309 nucleotides. Lineage: Eukaryota; Metazoa; Chordata; Amphibia; Anura; Pelobatidae. The record is from the annotation of a GenBank genome assembly.
AUCUGUAAUAGACCACUUUCUUCUAUUUUAGCUAGGAAAUCCACCUGAUAAAAUCACUACUGAUAUUAGCAGAGGGAAUUCCAUUGGGUUGGGAAGGGUUAGGAUUAAUCAUGUUAUUGUGUUAUACAUGGUUACAGCUAGUGGUAAGACUAGGGUAGGUAAAUGGUCAGAGUUAGUGUGAGCAUAAGGUUAGGUGUGGGCUUGGUAUAGGGUUAGUGUUAACUACCAAAAGUUAAUUUAGAUCUUAGACACAUAUGAGGCAUUUAACAAUCAGGACUGAUUCAUGAAUCUGUUUUGAAUUAUUUUUCUUUAGUUGUACUGGAUGUGUAAAAAAUAUUAAAAGCAAAAAUGUGAAUUUAUUUUUUUUCCAAAACCCCUUCCCCCAUUUUAAACAUUUUAUUUACAUGUAAUAUUGAGUUAGUUAUACAUAUAGGAUAUAAAAAAGCACUUUCUGUCCUUUAAAGAACAAUUUAUAAUAUGUAUCUGAACAAAUACAUAGCUGAAAUUUUAGGUUUUGGUUUGAAACAAUUGCCUCUGUCCUUAUCAUUAUAAUCCAUCAAAAUAGUAGAUAAACGUCUGCAGUGAAACUGUAUCCUAUUCUCAUUUAGUAAACGAAACCCCAACUGCAUUUUAAACAUCAACUAGUCAUUCCCAUUAAUUACACACAUCAGUCAGAUUUUACUCCUGAGGAAGAACAUCCAGAACUUUGUUAACACAUAACCAAUCCUAGAAAUGAGUGGAUUAGCUGGAACAUGUUUAAAAAUGUUUUCAGUCCAAAAUACUUAUACUCUGAACAAUACAUGCAACACAGGGUUGCAUAGAAUGAUAUACAUUGUUAAUAGAAUCAACAGUUCUUUCCAAUUAAUGUACUUUAUCCGGUAUUACAUAAUACAUAUAAAACAUAUACAAGUUAACUUACAAUUUAAAUGGUAUGAAAAGGCUCUUUUAGCAUUUUUAAGGGGGGGGGGAGGGGGGAGGUCUGGAGGUAGGGUUGCCACCUGGCUGGUAUUUUAGGUAAUGUAACUGUUUGGCCAUUGCGGUUAUUUUCAAAUACCAGCAAUACAAACACUGGUAUUUUUUACUGGAUGGACUCUGUCAACUUGGUGUUCUAUAUGAGACCUCAAUUUCGUAUUUUUGGAUAAGCUAUUCAAAUGAUAACAAUUUUAGAAUGCACUUCUUCUGUGAUGCAGACAACUUGUCACUUGGCCCAUUGAGUGAGCACUCAGGAGGGCAGGCUCCUCAGUCCAGUGUCCCCAAACUGUAGUACAACCUUCUAUAUUAAAAGAUGAACACAUUUUAAGUAGUUUUUGUUUUUUAUUAUUAUACUUAUUUAGGGAUUUUCCCUUUCUAAAUGCAUUUUAUUUUUCUCUUAUGUUACUCCCUGUGAAGUCAUACAUAUAAAAUGUAUUAUGCAAAUUAGCAUGGCUAGUAUGUUUCCAUGAAAGGUGGUUGGAACCUAAGCUGUGGUGGGGAGGGUGGGGGGUAGGAAUGUAUAUCCAAAAAGGGGCAUUUAUAAGCAAGAUGAACAUAAAGGCUUAGACAGUGUACACGAUUCAAAACAGAAACAGCUAGCAAAAGCUCACAAUUCCUAUUAUUUCCAUUAUAUGCUUGAUGGAAACUGCAUUGAGUAGAGAUACGAAACAAAAAAGGGAUGGGAGAAUGUUGGUGAAAAUGGAUUUUAUUUUAAAAAUGUGUCUAGAACGUCUAUUCUGUUAUCAGUUUGGCUAUGUUUGCCUUAAAUUUGAAACUCACUUUGAAUUUCCAUCUAUUCUAAUUUUAGUGAAUAUUCCUUUAUGCAUUUUUUUGUUUUUUGUACAGCAAAUGUUAUUGGAUGUCUUAAAUAUUAUCUUUCAAUAGGAUUUUUCUCAGUUCUUACUUCUACUAUAUAUGUAUCAGAAUUAAAUGAUUAAAAUAGAGUUCUGGAAUGUCUUGAUAAAAAAGUGCUUUAUCUUUGUAAAACACAAAUAUAUAAAUUUUACUGCUUUUUGGGGCAUACUUGUUGAAUUAUGGGGUUGAUGGCUGAGUUGAUUCCAAUUUGUUUUAAAUGUUCUAUGUGGCCAAAUAAAGCAGUAUGUUUUAAUGAGACAAGUGAGGUUUAUACUUAUGGUGUAUGCAGGGCCGGCGCCACCUGUAAGGCGACCUAGGCAGCCGCCUAGGGCGCAACUUAGCAGGGGGCGCCGUAUCCCUGCGCCCGGCGGCUCCUCAUGCUGCACCGCCUGAGCGCUUUAGCAAGCCCCAGGCGGCGCGGCAUUGCUGUGUGGAGGGCGGCCAGGUUUGUGACCGGCAGGAGGGAGGCGCAGAGCGCUCCC